CAGUAAUGCACCCUCUGCUCACUCCUCCCUUCUUGGUCAGUUCUGAUGGUCUCUGCAGGUCGCUCCUUUGAAGCAUUGCCAGCGACAAGCGUUUAGCUGAGGUGCUUAUGUCAAGAUUCAAGCUGUUAAAAGUCACUGUCAAUCACCGAAAGAUAAACUACUGGGUUUUUGAAGGAUUUGAUGUCUCCCGAUCACUGCAGAUUAUCAGAACCAUAUUGUGUUAUUCACAUCAAGGUCUGCUGUGCUUAGUGGAGGACAUCUGAGAGAGGCGUGCUGUACAGUAAAGCCCAGCUGCUGUCCAUGGUCUCAAUUCUGAAUCUGGAACUUCCUGCCUCGGUGAGCUGGGUGAGUUAGAUUCACUGGUAUUUAAGUUUCUACAUCUGCAGGUAAAGAAUACAACCCUCCUUCACAGAGAUGCUUACAGGAAUUCACAGAUAAUAUUUGUAGAGUGCUUAGAUACAAAGAU
RNAcentral lists this long non-coding RNA (466 nucleotides) under Numida meleagris (helmeted guineafowl). RNAcentral describes it as "lncRNA (ENSNMEG00000000605.1)". The record is from RNAcentral. Lineage: Eukaryota; Metazoa; Chordata; Aves; Galliformes; Numididae.